AGGUCUGUGAUGCCCUUAGAUGUUCUGGGCCGCACGCGCGCUACACUGACAGAGCCAACGAGUUCUUUUCCUUGUUCGAAAGAAUUGGGUAAUCUUGUUAAACUCUGUCGUGCUGGGGAUAAAGCAUUGCAAUUAUUGCUUUUCAACGAGGAAUGCCUAGUAAGCGCGUGUCAUCAGCAUGCGUUGAUUACGUCCCUGACCUUUGUACACACCGCCCGUCGCUACUACCGAUUGAAUGGCUCAGUGAGGCCUUCGGACUGGCUCGAGGAGGUUGGCAACGACCACCUCAAGCCGGAAAGUUGGUCAAACUCGGUCAUUUAGAGGAAGUAAAAGUCGUAACAAGGUCUCCGUAGGUGAACCUGCGGAGGGAUCAUUA
This 376-nucleotide ribosomal RNA is filed under the name Alternaria solani. RNAcentral describes it as "SSU rRNA". It matches the Rfam family "Eukaryotic small subunit ribosomal RNA", at positions 1458 to 1831 of the family's 1831-position model. The record is from RNAcentral. Lineage: Eukaryota; Fungi; Ascomycota; Dothideomycetes; Pleosporales; Pleosporaceae.